Molecule: long non-coding RNA, 125 nt
Organism: Aethalodelphis obliquidens (Pacific white-sided dolphin)
Lineage: Eukaryota; Metazoa; Chordata; Mammalia; Artiodactyla; Delphinidae
Exons: 3
Source: RefSeq, a predicted model, not a curated record
CAAGCCUCUCAGAUUCCCAUGUAAAAAUCAAAAGCUUUGCAGACAAGCAAAAGCUAAAAGAAUUCAGCACAACCAGAGCAGUUUUGCAACAAAUCGUAAAGGAAUUUCUCUAUGCAAGAAAGAAA